CUACGGGAGGCUGCAGUGGGGAAUAUUGCACAAUGGGCGCAAGCCUGAUGCAGCCAUGCCGCGUGUAUGAAGAAGGCCUUCGGGUUGUAAAGUACUUUCAGCGGGGAGGAAGGGAGUAAAGUUAAUACCUUUGCUCAUUGACGUUACCCGCAGAAGAAGCACCGGCUAACUCCGUGCCAGCAGCCGCGGUAAUACGGAGGGUGCAAGCGUUAAUCGGAAUUACUGGGCGUAAAGCGCACGCAGGCGGUUUGUUAAGUCAGAUGUGAAAUCCCCGGGCUCAACCUGGGAACUGCAUCUGAUACUGGCAAGCUUGAGUCUCGUAGAGGGGGGUAGAACUCCAGGUGUAGCGUUGAAAUGCGUAGAGAUCUGGAGGAAUACCGGUGGCGAAGGCGGCCCCCUGGACGAAGACUGACGCUCAGGUGCGAAAGCGUGGGGAGCAAACAGGAUUAGAUACCCCUGUAGUC
This 464-nucleotide ribosomal RNA is filed under the name uncultured bacterium. Its description in RNAcentral is "partial 16S ribosomal RNA". It matches the Rfam family "Bacterial small subunit ribosomal RNA", at positions 339 to 795 of the family's 1533-position model. The record is from RNAcentral.